This 57-nucleotide ribosomal RNA is filed under the name fungal endophyte MUT 2727. RNAcentral describes it as "partial 28S ribosomal RNA". Lineage: Eukaryota; Fungi; Ascomycota. The record is from RNAcentral.
UGACCUCGGAUCAGGUAGGGAUACCCGCUGAACUUAAGCAUAUCAAUAAGCCGGAGG